This 263-nucleotide ribosomal RNA is filed under the name uncultured bacterium. Its description in RNAcentral is "partial 16S ribosomal RNA". It matches the Rfam family "Bacterial small subunit ribosomal RNA", at positions 793 to 1055 of the family's 1533-position model. The record is from RNAcentral.
GUCCACGCCCUAAACGAUGUCUACUAGUUGUCGGGUCUUAAUUGACUUGGUAACGCAGCUAACGCGUGAAGUAGACCGCCUGGGGAGUACGGUCGCAAGAUUAAAACUCAAAGGAAUUGACGGGGACCCGCACAAGCGGUGGAUGAUGUGGAUUAAUUCGAUGCAACGCGAAAACCUUACCUACCCUUGACAUGGCUGGAAUCCCGGAGAGAUCUGGGAGUGCUCGAAAGAGAGCCAGUACACAGGUGCUGCAUGGCUGUCGU